AUUUAAGAGCGUAUGGGGAAUGCCUUGGCUCUCAGAGGCGAUGAAGGACGUGAUAAACUGCGAUAAGCCAUGGGGAUUGGUUGUACGAAGCGAUCCAUGGAUUUCCGAAUGGGGCAACCCGCUCCGAUGAAGUCGGAUCAUCUCUUUAAUAUUCUUAAUAUUUAGAGAGGCAAACCUGGGGAACUGAAACAUCUAAGUACCCAGAGGAAAAGAAAACAACAGUGAUUCCGUAAGUAGUGGCGAGCGAACGCGGAAUAGCCCAAACCAUACUACAGUUACGGCUGUUAUGGGGUUGUAGGACUGGCGUAACAAUUUAGUGAGAGAAUUCGAAUUGCUCUGGAAAGACAAGCCAUAGCAGGUGAUAGCCCUGUAGAAGUAAUCAAACUAAAUUAGUCAGUAUCCUGAGUAGGUCGGCGCUGGUGAAACACCGACUGAAGCUGCCGGCACCAUCCGGUAAGGCUAAAUACUCCUGAGAGACCGAUAGUGAACUAGUACCGUGAGGGAAAGGUGAAAAGUACCCUGAAUAAGGGAGUGAAAUAGUCCCUGAAACCGUACGCUUACAAGCGGUCGGAGCCCCUUAGGGGGUAACGGCGUGCCUUUUGCAUAAUGAGCCUACGAGUUAGUCUUUUUUGGCAAGGUUAAUCCUUUAGAAAGGAGAAGCCGAAGCGAAAGCGAGUCUGAAUAGGGCGAUAUAGUCAGAGGAGCUAGACGCGAAACCUGGUGAGCUACCCAUAGCCAGGCUGAAGCACUGGUAAAACAGUGUGAAGGGCCGAACCAGUAGACGUUGCAACGUCUUUGGAUGAGCUGUGGGUAGGGGUGAAAGGCCAAUCAAACCAGGAAAUAGCUCGUACUCUCCGAAAUGCUUUUAGGAGCAGCCUUAAACGUAUACUGGCAGAGGUAGAGCUACCGAUAGGAUAGGGGGGAGUCAAAUCCUACCACAUCCAGACGAACUCCGAAUGCUGCUAGUUUUGUUUAGGAGUGAGGGCUAGGGUGCUAAGGUCCUAGUCCGAAAGGGAAAGAACCCAGACUAUCAGCUAAGGUCCCCAAAUAUAUGCUAAGUUGAACUAAGAAAGUUCAGUUGCUAAGACAGCCAGGAUGUUGGCUUGGAAGCAGCCACUCAUUUAAAGAGUGCGUAACAGCUCACUGGUCGAGCGACAGAGCGUCGAUAAUAAACGGGCAUCAAGCAUAUUACCGAAGCUAUAGCGCUAGUGUUUUGGCACUAGGGGGUAGGAGAGCAUUCUAACGGAGUUGAAGCAGCAAGGAAACUUAUUGUGGAUUUGUUAGAAAAGAAAAUGUAGGCAUAAGUAACGUUAAUGAUGGCGAGAAACCAUCACACCGAAAGACUAAGGCUUCCACGGCGAUGCUAGUCAUCCGUGGGUUAGUCGGGCCCUAAGCUGAAGCCAAACGGCGUAAGCGAUGGACAAUCGGUUAAUAUUCCGAUACUAGCUAAUAAUAGAUGAAGAGGGGACGAAGUAGUGAAAAGUCUGCCUCGUGACGGAAUACGAGGUUAAAGCCUGUAGGUAUAAACAUGCGUGGCAAAUCCAUCAUGUUUGCCGAAAGUAAUAGUACUGCAAUCCUUCGGGAGCGCAGAUAGUGACUCUAAGCAGACUUCCAAGAAAAGCCUCUAAUCGUUACGUUACUAGCUAUCCGUACCGCAAACCGACACUGGUAGUCGAGGAGAGUAUCCUAAGGUGGACGAGUGAUUCGUGGCCAAGGAACUAGGCAAAAUUACCCUGUAACUUCGGGAGAAAGGGUGCCUCGCUCACUGUCGCAAGAUAGAAGGCAGGCCGCAGUAAAAAGGCCCAGACGACUGUUUACCAAAAACACAAGGCUUUGCAAAAUCGAAAGAUGAAGUAUAAGGCCUGAUACCUGCCCGGUGCUGGAAGGUUAAUAGGAGGUGUUAAACCGCAAGGUUAAAGCACUGAACAGAAGCCCCAGUAAACGGCGGCCGUAACUAUAACGGUCCUAAGGUAGCGAAAUUCCUUGUCGGGUAAGUUCCGACCUGCACGAAUGGUAUAACGAUCUGGGCACUGUCUCAGCCACGAGCUCGGUGAAAUUGAAGUAACGGUGAAGAUACCGUUUACCCGCAACGGGACGGAAAGACCCCAUGAACCUUUACUAUAGCUUAACAUUGGUAAUGUGUAGGUGAUGUGUAGGAUAGGUGGGAGACUACGAAGCCUUGGCGCUAGCUGGGGUGGAGUCAACCUUGAAAUACCACCCUUCAUGUAUGUGUUACCUCAUCUUUCAGAGUAAAGAGACAGUGUUAGGUGGGUAGUUUGACUGGGGCGGUCGCCUCCAAAAAAGUAACGGAGGCUUUCAAAGGUACCCUCAGCACGGAUGGCAAUCGUGCGUAGAGCGCAAUAGCAUAAGGGUGCUUGACUGUGAGACCUACAAGUCGAGCAGGGUCGAAAGACGGAUAUAGUGAUCCGGUGGUUCCGUAUGGAAGGGCCAUCGCUCAAAGGAUAAAAGGUACUCUGGGGAUAACAGGCUGAUCUCCCCCAAGAGUUCACAUCGACGGGGAGGUUUGGCACCUCGAUGUCGGCUCAUCGCAUCCUGGGGCGGUAGUACGUCCCAAGGGUUGGGCUGUUCGCCCAUUAAAGCGGUACGCGAGCUGGGUUCAGAACGUCGUGAGACAGUUCGGUCCCUAUCUGUUGUGGGCGUUAGAAGCUUGAGAGGAGCUGACCCUAGUACGAGAGGACCGGGUUGGGCAAACCUCUGGUGUAUCAGUUGUGACGCCAGUUGCACUGCUGAGUAGCCACGUUUGUAAGAGAUAAGUGCUGAAAGCAUCUAAGCACGAAACUCACCUCAAGAUGAGGCUUCCUUAAGGGUGGUCAUAGACGAUGACCUUGAUAGGCUGCAAGUAUAAAGUCAGAAAUGGCAAAGCUGAGCAGUACUAAUUGCCCAAAUGC
RNAcentral lists this ribosomal RNA (2909 nucleotides) under Astrosyne radiata. Its description in RNAcentral is "Bacterial large subunit ribosomal RNA". It matches the Rfam family "Bacterial large subunit ribosomal RNA". Lineage: Eukaryota; Bacillariophyta; Fragilariophyceae; Cyclophorales; Cyclophoraceae. The record is from RNAcentral.